GUUUGGUGAACACAUGAUGUGGUUUGGUUA
RNAcentral lists this non-coding RNA (30 nucleotides) under Homo sapiens (human). Lineage: Eukaryota; Metazoa; Chordata; Mammalia; Primates; Hominidae. The record is from RNAcentral.